RNAcentral lists this long non-coding RNA (295 nucleotides) under Dromaius novaehollandiae (emu). RNAcentral's name for it is "lncRNA (ENSDNVG00000012725.1)". Lineage: Eukaryota; Metazoa; Chordata; Aves; Casuariiformes; Dromaiidae. The record is from RNAcentral.
AAAAAAAAUAGACUCCCUAGUGUGAAAAUGGAUGGGGGCAGAAACCCACUCUGGUGCCUUUUGGUAGUACUGCUGUUCUGAAAAAGUCUUCAUACUCUACAGCUGUGGACUUGCAGUUCUUGGAAUGUGUAAUCUUCCAUAAAGGAAGAUUAUUGAGAAGAACUUGAUAUUACAGGUCUUCUGCUGAGCCUAUUUCUUUCUUCUAUGAAGACAGUGCUGACACCCGUCAAGAUUUGAGAGGUAAGAUACUUUUUGAUAUUUUUUUACUCUCUGACAGAUGGUGUAGUUUGUUGUC